UCAUACUGUAAGGGUAUGUGACACACAUGAGAUAAGUGCUACCAAUUGAUUGGCUUUGGCGCUAAGUUUGCAGUAGUCGCUGACAAGCAGUCUUCAGUAUUUGACAAACAAAUGGAGAACAACACACAAAAUAUAUUGUCAGACACUGAAUAUAAAGAAUACCUCCAGGACAAGGCAGCCCAACAAGGUUUUGCUGUCACCGCUCAGUCUGAGCAAAUCAGAGGAAAAGCUCGAGGAAUCUCAGGAAAUUGCUAGAGAUGACACUAUCGUUGUCGAAAUACACACGUGAGCCUGCUUAGAGAUGAUUAGGUGGAUGACUAUGAAGAACUUCAUGUUAGAGGACACGGGAAUAGAAUGCUCUGAUAGGAUGUGACAUUGGGGUAUAGGUUUCUAUAUUAAUUGCAUGAAGUCUUGAAUGAUCUUGUUUUGAAUUGAGAUGAUUUAUUAUUUAUUUGGACAAGUUUUAUUAUGAUGUUAGAAAAGUGAAUAUGAGUCUUUUAUCCUUUUGAAAAACUUGUAUUUAAAUGUGUUUUAAAAACUUUUAAUUAAUUCUAAUUUCUUAUUCCUUUUAUUAUUAGUAUAUAUAUGUGAGGGAUAGAGGGCGUCACAGACAAUGCAAAAUAGUACUUUUCUUAAUCUUUUUGCAAUUUUAUGGCAUCUCAUGGAAUGAUUCAUUAGUCUUCUUUUUGCAAAAUGGUGUUGUCAAACGCAAGCAUCGACAUAUUAUUGACAUUGCACGAACCUUCCUAAUCCACUCAAAUGCACCUUUAAAAUUUUUGGAGAUGCAGUUUUUAUGGCCGGGUAUCUUAUUAAUAAAAUGCCCUCUUCUUCUGUUAGUAACAAAGGUCCUCACUUUAUUCUAUUUCCUUAUGAGCCUUUGUUUCAUAUUCUUCCUCAUGUUUUUGGCUCUACUUGUUUUGUGCAUGAUCUCAAUUCAGGUCUUGAUAAGUUGAAAGCUCGUGCUAUUAAGUGCAUUUUUCUUGGUUAUUCACGCACUCAGAAAGGUCAUUCAUGUUACUCUCUUACCAACAACUAUUUGUACAUGUUUGUUGAUGUCACCUUCUUCGAAGAUACACCAUUAUCUUUCAACUAGCCCAUCUCCUCUGAGUUUGUCUCUCAGGUAUUGCCUAUUCCCUCUGUCAUUCCUUACCAGAUAGUUUCUUCUCUUCCGUUGUCCUUGUUCUCAACCUGUGGAAGAACCCCUUAUUGAAGAGAAUAGUGCAUCAUCUCCUGCUCCAGUCAUUCACCCUGUUGCGGUCGACUUUGACUUACCAAUCGCGAUAGGAUGAACUUUCACAUUCAGGAUGGCGAUCGAGUGAUGAUUGAUGAAAUGCAAGCUCUAGAAUCUAAUCAGACAUGGGCUCUUGUCCCUCCACCUCCAGGGAAAUCUCUUGUUGGUUGCAACUGGGUCUUUACUAUUAAAGUUCGACCUGAUGGACAAAUCGAUCGGUUGAAGGCAUGCCUUGUAGCCAAAGGCUUCACUUAGAUAUUUGGACUUGACUACAAUGACACCUUCUCUUUGGUCGCCAAGAUAGCCUAUGUUCGUCUCUUACUGUUGAUGGUAGCUACGCGUCAAUGGCUCCUUUAUCAAUUGGACAUCAAGAAUGAUUUCCUACACGGAGAAUUAGUUGAGGAAGUCGCAACCUCCCAAGUUUGUUGCUCAAGGGGAGUCUAGUGGAUUUGUUUGCAAGUUACGAAAAGCCCUAUAUGGCCUCACACAAAGUCCGAGAGCAUGGUUUGGCAGAUUUGGUUCCGUCCUUCAGAGUUUUGGCAUGACUCAUGGUGAGUCCGAUCACAUAGUAUUUUAUAGACUUUCCUCCACUAACCAGUGCGUUUAUCUUGUGGUGUAUGUAGAUGAUAUUGUUAUUACAAGAGAUGACCACAGGGGUAUCCGAGACCUUAAAAGUCAUUUGUUUCAGCACUUUCAAACUAAAGACUUGGGUCAAUUAAAAUACUUUCUUGGGAUUGAAGUAGCCCAAUCAAAAACUGGUAUUGUCAUUUGCCAAAGGAAAUAUGCCCUCGACAUCCUAAAAGACACUGGGAUGCAAAAUUGUAAGCCGGUCGACACUCCCAUGGAUCCGAAUACCAAACCUAUACCAGAUAAGGGGUAGAGUCCUUCUCGGAUCCAGGAAGAUAUCGAAGACUAGUUGGGAAGCUGAAUUAUCUCACCAGACUAGACCUGAUAUAUCCUUUGCAGUCAGUGUUGUAAGUCAAUUCCUUAACUCUCCUUGCACAAGUCAUUGGAAUGCUGUAAUUGAGGUAUAUAAAAGGGUCUCUAGGAAAAGGGUUAGUUUAUGAAAAUAGAGGUCACACUGAUAUCGUUGCAUAUACAGAUGCUGAUUGGGCUGGAUCUACGAGUGAUCGCAUGUCAACCUCAGGAUAUUGUAUCCUAAUUGGUGGAAUCUCAUUUCUUGGAGGAGUAAGAAAUGAAAUACUGUGGCCAGGUAUAGUGCAGAGGCUUAAUAUCGAUCUAUGUCUGUUACUACGUGUGGGCUGGUUUGGUUGAAACAACUCCUUAGUGAACUCAAAUUCUGUAAAAUUGGGUCCAUGAAACUUAUCUGUGACAACCAAGCAACACUACAUAUAGCAUCUAAUCCAGUCUUCCAUGAAUGGACUACUCACAUUGAAAUUGACUGUCACUUUAUGAGGGAGAAGAUAGUGUCUAGAGAAGUCACCACUGCCUUUGUCAACUCUAAUGAUCAACUGUCAGAUAUUUUUACCAAGUCUCUUAGAGGGCCAGGGAUAUCCUACAUUUGUUCCAAGCUGGAUGCAUGUGACCUAUAUGCUCCAACAUGAGGGGGAGUGUUAAAGAUUUGAUUUCCAUAUAACUGCAUUUAUUAAUAAUUGAUCUGUAUUUGAUAUAUUACUGAUUAACAUUUAUUCUCUGAUUAUGUAAUCCCUGCAAUCAUGGGAUUUGAUUGCUCAUUGUAUUUAAUACUCAACAUUAUAAAUAAAGAGCCGAGGAACAAUUGUCCUCAUGCAUUCAAUUCAUACAUUGUGAAAUUUAAGU
Glycine soja is the source of this 3010-nucleotide long non-coding RNA. RefSeq lists it as uncharacterized. NCBI's taxonomy places the organism in Eukaryota, Viridiplantae, Streptophyta, Magnoliopsida, Fabales, Fabaceae. The record is from RefSeq and is a predicted model, not a curated record. The transcript is spliced from 4 exons.